GGAAGGAGAAGUCGUAACAAGGUUUCCGUAGGUGAGCCUGCGGAAGGACCAUUG
This 54-nucleotide ribosomal RNA is filed under the name Lomanthus bangii. Its description in RNAcentral is "partial 18S ribosomal RNA". It matches the Rfam family "Eukaryotic small subunit ribosomal RNA", at positions 1778 to 1831 of the family's 1831-position model. The record is from RNAcentral. Lineage: Eukaryota; Viridiplantae; Streptophyta; Magnoliopsida; Asterales; Asteraceae.